This is a long non-coding RNA of Quercus lobata, 1237 nucleotides long. RefSeq lists it as uncharacterized. NCBI's taxonomy places the organism in Eukaryota, Viridiplantae, Streptophyta, Magnoliopsida, Fagales, Fagaceae. The record is from RefSeq and is a predicted model, not a curated record. The transcript has 3 exons.
CUUUAAAUUUAAUCUUCCAUUAGCAUCAGUUGACUGCUUUGUUUUGGUUUUGUAUCAGAGCACCGACACUAGUUCAACAGUGAAAAGGAUUUUUUAAACGCUGCUGGAGAUCAGCAAGGAAUUUGUCCUAACUUUGAGUUGGCAUUCAUGUCAGGUGUGCUUCGGUUACAGGGGCCAACAAAGGCAUUGGGCUGGAGAUCUGUCGUCAGUUAGCAUCUGCUGGAUUUGUGGUCAUAUUAACUGCUAGAUUCUAGAGAUGAGAAGAGAGGCGUAGAAGCUGUGGAAAAUCUCAAAGUUUCUGGGUUGUCUCAUGUGGAUUUUCAUCGACUUGAUGUGAAAGAACAGGCCAGCAUAGCUUCAUAUGCAAAAUUUAUUGAAGCCCAUUUCGGAAAACUUGAUAUACUUGUAAACAACGCAGGAGAUGGUGGACUAGUCAUAAACUGUGAAGCCUACAGGGCCUUUGUACUUGCUGGCAAUGUAAAGGAUAUUCUCAAGCAGACUUAUGAGGAGGCAGAAGAAUGGGUGAAAACGAAUUACUAUGGAACCAAAGGAGUAACUGAAGCAUUUCUUCCCCUUCUGCAACUCUCCCAAUCAGCAAGAAUAGCGAAUAUCUCCUCCUUCCAUGGACAGCUAAAGGUAAUAAAACACAAUAAGGUAUUCAUCCUUGAUUUGCAAUACAUAAAAGUACUGGAAACAUGUAACCUAUCAUAGUUUCAUCUUGCUAUCCCAGUUUAUCAAAAAUGAGAGGGCUAAAGCAGUGCUAGAGAAUGUUAAUGAUCUAAUAGAUGAGAAAAUAGACGAGGUUUUGCGAUGAUUUUUAAGGGAUUUCAAUGAGCAAAAGUUGGAGGCCAAUGGUUGGCCGAAAACUGUAUCAGCCUAUAAGGUAUCCAAAGCUGCUGUAAAUGCCUAUACAAAACUCAUUGCAAAAAGGAUCCCUCAACACCAUAUAAAUUCUAUCCAUCCAGGAAGGGUCAAAACAGAGAUGACAUGUGACAUUGUAAAAUUGAGUCCUCGUGAAGGUGCAAGAGGUCCUGUGCUGUUUUCUUCGCUGCCUGAAACUGGUCCUACAGGCUUAUUCUCUGACGAGAUUGAGGUAUCUAGCUUUUGAUGUAAGACAACCCAGAAGUAUCAAUCUUGGAUUGAUUACAUAACCUUGUUAUCCUUUGAAAGAAGCUGUAACUUUGGAAUAACAUUAAUGACUCAAUUUAAAAAUAAAAAAUGGGUCUUUUGAGUUAAA